Clupea harengus (Atlantic herring) is the source of this 1454-nucleotide long non-coding RNA. RefSeq lists it as uncharacterized. The record is from RefSeq and is a predicted model, not a curated record. NCBI's taxonomy places the organism in Eukaryota, Metazoa, Chordata, Actinopteri, Clupeiformes, Clupeidae. The transcript has 3 exons.
CCUGUUUCACUCCCGGAGUUGGAUUGUGCGUUAUUUGUGCACCAUGUGCAGCUAGCGGACGCAUAGUAGCCGCUGCCUCUGUCGUCCUGUGUUUCCGUGCCCUCGGAGGCUUGGAAUUGGCCUGGGUGGGUUGACGCCGCUGCUGUUUUGCUGCUAGGUUUUGCUGCUAGCUCUUGCUUAUAGCUAUUGUACCGUUUGCUGUUCGUCUGGCUUCACGUCUCGUCAUCCUUGCCAGCAGCUGCUGUCCGCAAGAGCUGCUGCUGCGUGUGUGUGUGUGUGUUUUCGUUUUGGUUCUGGUUGUUUUGUGUUCAAUGUGCUGUUGGCUGUGCUAGGUGCCCAAGGCUAGUAGUCCAUCCUAACCUCCCCUGGUGGUGGGUGGUAUCUCCUUUGUGUGUGUGCAUUGAGAUAAUUUUUGAUGUAUGUAUUUACCUUUCACUAGGUUUGUGUGUGUGUGUGCAUUUGGUGUGAGCAGUGCACGUUUGCUGUGACCUCCUGGAGGUAAUACCCCGCUACUUAAAUACCCCUGCCUGACUGGUAAGCCUCAGUCCAGUUCUAUGCUGUGUUCAUUUAUCUGUUGUGUAGGUGUUGUCCAUUGUCUGUCCUACUGUUACCAUUUUGUGUGUUUGUUGUUAUUAAAUAAAACAUAUUUGUUAUUUAUGGAAACACGUCUCCAGCUUCCUCAGUUUACGAACCUGUGUGCCCCUAGUGGGCAAGUUUGAUUCCACCUCAACUAUUUCCCUGGGCGCAACUCGUGGGCGUAGUCGUGCUCUGUAUAGUCCUAGCUCCACUCUCCAUAUUGUUAUGCCACACUUGUGUGUUUAUUUUGUCUCCUGUAAGCUUUUGUAAAUGUUUAUCUAGAGCCCUUUGUUUUUUUUCCUAUGUUCCAUGUGCUAGACAAAUACAUUUGCCUUGUCUGGUCUCAAUAGAGAUACAGCAGGCAAUCCACAGGAGAGAGGCUGGACACAUAGAUGGAGAGGGGGGAGAGAGAGAGUCAGUCCCAUCUGUUUUGAGAGGAGGAAAACGGCUCACUGUUCAUCUAGAGAAGAGGUUGGUUACAGAAGACACGUCUACCAUCUGGCUACCAUGGGUGUUCCUCUUUGGCUGAUUCUGUUUCUACCUACCCUUCAAGAUGCGUCACCUCAACAGAGUGAUCCUUGUCAUAUCUACACUGUGCUGAACGACGACUGGAGGGUCACCACCAACCUGGACACGUCAGUGGUAAGGUGCGACUAUCAUCUCCAGUGGCAGGGCUGGUACCGCAUGUUCCACCAGGGGGCGAGCGUUCGCAUGCCCGAGAGCUGUGUACCUACGUUUCGGUGUGGCACGAAGGGAACCCUGUGGCUGAACGGCCCGCACCCUCGCCUGGAAGAUGGCAUCGUGACCAGAAAGGUGUGCGGACACUGGGAUGGCAACUGCUGCUAUAUCAAAGCACCAUCCAUCCAGGUGAAAGCGUG